This 24-nucleotide unclassified non-coding RNA is filed under the name Dictyostelium discoideum. The record is from RNAcentral. Lineage: Eukaryota; Evosea; Eumycetozoa; Dictyosteliales; Dictyosteliaceae.
GUUGACCUUACAGCAAAUCUAACA